GUGCUCACUUUAGCAGCACAUACACUAAAAUUUGAAUGAUACAGAGAAGAUUAGCAUGGCUCCUGUGCAAGGAUGACAUGCAAAUAUGUGAAGCAUCUCAUACUUUU
Molecule: small nuclear RNA, 107 nt
Filed under: Cercocebus atys (sooty mangabey)
Lineage: Eukaryota; Metazoa; Chordata; Mammalia; Primates; Cercopithecidae
Source: RNAcentral